This 183-nucleotide ribosomal RNA is filed under the name uncultured Staphylococcus sp. RNAcentral's name for it is "partial 16S ribosomal RNA". It matches the Rfam family "Bacterial small subunit ribosomal RNA", at positions 157 to 334 of the family's 1533-position model. Lineage: Bacteria; Bacillati; Bacillota; Bacilli; Caryophanales; Staphylococcaceae. The record is from RNAcentral.
CGAGAGCUAAUACCGGAUAAUAUAUUGAACCGCAUGGUUCAAUAGUGAAAGACGGUUUUGCUGUCACUUAUAGAUGGAUCCGCGCCGCAUUAGCUAGUUGGUAAGGUAACGGCUUACCAAGGCAACGAUGCGUAGCCGACCUGAGAGGGUGAUCGGCCACACUGGAACUGAGACACGGUCCAG